AAUCAACGCUGGCGGCGUGCCUCAGACAUGCAAGUCGAACGAUUAAAGCUCCCUUCGGGGAGUGUAUAGAGUGGCGCACGGGUGAGUAACACGUAAGUAAUCUACCCUCGAGUGGGGAAUAACGUCCGGAAACGGACGCUAAUACCGCAUAAUGCAGCGGCACCGCAAGGUGACAGUUGUUAAAGAUUUAUCGCUUGAGGAGGAGCUUGCGGCAGAUUAGCUAGUGGUAAGGUAAUGGCUUACCAAGGCUACGAUCUGUAACCGGUCUAAGAGGACGGUCGGUCACACUGACACUGAAUAACGGGUCAGACUCCUACGGGAGGCAGCAGUCGGGAAUUUUGGGCAAUGGGCGAAAGCCUGACCCAGACACG
This 371-nucleotide ribosomal RNA is filed under the name uncultured bacterium. RNAcentral's name for it is "bacterial SSU rRNA". It matches the Rfam family "Bacterial small subunit ribosomal RNA", at positions 32 to 396 of the family's 1533-position model. The record is from RNAcentral.